RNAcentral lists this long non-coding RNA (2339 nucleotides) under Trifolium pratense (red clover). RNAcentral describes it as "long non-coding RNA (TPRA_LNC006491)". The record is from RNAcentral. Lineage: Eukaryota; Viridiplantae; Streptophyta; Magnoliopsida; Fabales; Fabaceae.
GCAUGAUUUGAAAGUGUCCUAUGAUUGGGUAACUAUAACAAUAGUCAAUGGCUAUAGCAAUUGGUUGUGGAUUCAUUUAUGUGCAUAUUUGUAUUGUUAGGUCAAUUGCUUGCAAAGUUUAUAGGUUUGCUAAUACAAGUUAUGUUGAUCUUUAUGCUCUUUUGAAUUGGAUGUUGCUUCAGUUUUGUGUUGUGUCAUUUUGAAACUAGUGGUUAUUUUCAUGGAGCAUGAACAAGGAUUGAAAUUGUGAACUAUUUUAUGUGAUUGUGUCAUUUUUUAUGUUGCUUCUUUUUUGUGUUGUGUCAUUUUGGAUGUUGCUUCAUUUUGAAACUAGUGGUUAUUUUCAUGAAGCAGUUUUGUGUUGUGUCGUUUUGGAUGUUGCUUCAGUUUUGGUGUGUGUCAUUGUGAAUUGUCAUUUUGACAUGUAUAGGUCUAGUCCAAACAAAUUUUGUUAGUUCAUCAUAGAACAAAACUUACUUGAACCUUUCUUUUGAUGCUACUAAAGUUGCUGUAGAUGCUAGUAGUCAAUGAUUCAUGGUGAUUGAAUAAUGGUAGAUAUGGAAGACAAAUGGACAAUGACUAUAAUAGCUGUGUUGAAAUAUAGUUUUCUUACCAUCUCUGGACACUGGUGGUGUUUAUUUUUAUAAGCAAUCCAUCUAGUGGUGCAAGCUUUUCAAGCAAUUACGAAUAUGAUUUCCAUGUCCCAAGUUCACUAGAAAAAAUUGUUAUUCUGUAUUUAGUGAAUUUCAUGGUAUUUUUUCUUGGAGUGUUUUUUUUUUGUUGAUAAAAAUAAAUUUUGCAAGGUCAGACAUAACAUUAUAAGAUAAGAUUCAUUGGGUAGUUGUUGGGCCAUUUUACAUGCGGCAUGUACAGAACUGAAGGCAUUCUUGUUUUUGUUCUUGUUCGAUCCACCAUAUUGACGCUCAACAUCCUUUUACUUUUGUGUUUAAUAAAAAGUAAAACUUCUGUUUAUAAAAAAGAGAGUAGAACUUCUAAACUGAAGUUGCGUUAGUGAGCGUUAGCUUAUUGCUGAGGCUGUCCUCAUGGCCGUGAACAUAACUUAGUUGGUAGAGACAUUGCUAUAUGUAAGGGUUAGAGUUUAAACUUCGGUCGGUUAAACUUCCAGCUGAAACUUGUAAUAGGCAGAGUGGUCCACUAUUAUGCUUCUUUUUAAUUUUUGCAUGAUUUGAAAGUGUUUGAAUUUUUAUUAUUAAGUUUUACUGGAUUAUUAGGUUGUUUGUUAAUGUGUAGAUUUUUUUUGUAUUUACUUGUCUCUUUUUAGUUUUCUACAUUCCAUUUAUUUUUGUUUAACACUUUCAUUUUUCUUCAGGUCUGAAUUUGGCACACUCUUUGAUUUCGCUCAACUACAUUAUUUUUGUAAGGUAUCAAAUUCAUAUAUACUUCUAUUCACCCUUACCAAUUUUGUGUAUCUUAAAUUUCUAUGUUGUGUGGUUUAUGAUUUGGUGAUGUGAUUAUGAUUGAGGACUACUAAUUAGUACUCUACUAAAUUUUAAGUUCUAAGUUAGUAAUUUAAUUCAUACCUCUGUUACUAUAAGUUAAAUAUGAUUAAGUAAGUGAUUCAUACCUCUUAAUUUAACUUGGUUUUUGUUUAAUCAUGGAAUAUCCAAAUAAGAUUCCUCAUAAUGUACGUUAUUUUAAUUAUUAUUAUUAUUAAUUCAUAUUCUUACAUAUAAGUAUGUGUAAUGUAGUGCAAUUCAAUUCUGACUCAAUUUUGCGUUACUUUUAUAAUUGAAGUAUUUUUAUCGCCAUAGACAUCCUAGUACUCUAAAGAGAUGCUAGAUGAGGUGAAGGAGGAGUGGGCUACCUAUAUGGUUGAAGAUGUUAUCAAUGAUGCAAAAAGGCUGCAAAAAUAAUAGUUGAUCAUUAAUUGGUAAGUUUUAUCUUAUAAAUAUUUAAACAUCCAAAUAUAUUCUGAUAUGGCUGCUGUGCUUGGUAGAAAAAUGUAGUUGGUAUUCUUGGAUUUCACAUCCAUUGUCAAAUUUUAUGGCUACUUAGGAAUUUGGACAUGUGACACUAAAAUUUUAGAGUAAUGGGGAUAAUCAUAAUGUCCCUAAGGUCAUACUAUUUUUCCUCUUAAAAAUAUUAUUUGUAAAUGGGAUAUUGAAACACUAGGAUGAAUUAUGAGUAUGCUGCCAAACGAUGUAUUAUCAAGCAAAUGCCUAAUUUCUUGUACAUCUAUAUAUACAAUGACUAUGUUUUAUUAUGCAGGUAGUUUGAGGCCUUCCUUUUUCAAUGAAGUGGGUGGUUCUCAUCAAGUGACAGGAAAAUGAGUUUUGUAGCUGUUGUUAGAUGUCAAAUUUGUAGUGGUCUUUGUGNNN